AGGAUAAACGCUAGCGGCAGGCCUAACACAUGCAAGUCGAGCGGCAGCACGAAGUAGCAAUAUUUUGGUGGCGAGCGGCGGACGGGUGAGUAACGCGUAUGCAACCUGCCCAUCACACGGAGAUAGCCGACCGAAAGGACGAUUAAACUCCGAUGGCAUCAAGAGGGGGCAUCCCCAUUUGAUUAAAUAUUCAUAGGUGAUGGAUGGGCAUGCGUGGCAUUAGUUAGUUGGCGGGGCAACGGCCCACCAAGACGAUGAUGCCUAUGGGUUCUAAAAGGAAGAUCCCACACAUCGGUACUGAGACACGGACCGAACUCCUACGGGAGGCAGCAGUGAGGAAUAUUGGACAAUGGGGGCAACCCUGAUCCAGCCAAACCGCGUGGGGGACGGAGGCCGUUAAGGUCGUAAACCCCUUUUAUAUGGGAGCAAUCCCCGCCAUGUAUGGCGGGCUGAGAGUACCAUUUGAAUAAGCAUCGGCUAACUCCGUGCCAGCAGCCGCGGUAAUACGGAGGAUGCGGGCGUUAUCCGGAUUUAUUAGGUCUAAAGGGUGCGCAGGCGGCUCUCUAAGUCGGCGGUGAAAACCCGUGGCCCAACCACGGACGUGCCAUCGAUACUGGGGGGGCUUGAGUGUGGGGUGACGUAAGCGGAAUGAGUGGUGUAGCGGUGAAAUGCUUAGAUAUUACUCAGAACACCGAUUGCGAAGGCAGCUUACGAACCCUCCACUGACGCUCAUGCACGAAAGCGCGGGUAGCGAACAGGAUUAGAUACCCUGGUAGUCCGCGCGGUAAACGAUGAUCACUCGCUGUACGGGUUUGGACCCGUGUGGCCAAGCGAAAGCGAUAAGUGAUCCACCUGGGGAGUACGGCGGCAACGCUGAAACUCAAAGGAAUUGACGGGGGCCCGCACAAGCGGAGGAACAUGUGGUUUAAUUCGAUGAUACGCGAGGAACCUUACCCGGGCUCGAACGCAUGAUGAAGCCGUGGAAACACGGUGGCCCAGCAAUGGGAGUCGUGCGAGGUGCUGCAUGGUUGUCGUCAGCUCGUGCCGUGAGGUGUUGGCUUAAGUGCCAUAACGAGCGCAACCCCUGUCCGAAGUUGCCAACGGGUCAAGCCGGGGACUCUUCGGAGACUGCCGCCGCAAGGUGCGAGGAAGGCGGGGAUGACGUCAAAUCAGCACGGCCCUUACGUCCGGGGCGACACACGUGUUACAAUGGCCGGUACAGCGGGCAGCCACCCUGCGAAGGGGCGCGAAUCCCGAAAGCCGGUCUUAGUUCGGACUGGAGUCUGGAACCCGACUCCACGAAGCCGGAUUCGCUAGUAAUCGCGCAUCAGCCAUGGCGCGGUGAAUACGUUCCCGGGCCUUGUACACACCGCCCGUCAAGCCAUGGAAGCCGGAAGUACCUGAAGUCCGUAACCGCGAGGAGCGGCCUAGGGUAAGGCUGGUGACUGGGGCU
RNAcentral lists this ribosomal RNA (1453 nucleotides) under uncultured rumen bacterium. RNAcentral describes it as "bacterial SSU rRNA". It matches the Rfam family "Bacterial small subunit ribosomal RNA". The record is from RNAcentral.